This 448-nucleotide ribosomal RNA is filed under the name uncultured bacterium. Its description in RNAcentral is "bacterial SSU rRNA". It matches the Rfam family "Bacterial small subunit ribosomal RNA", at positions 330 to 794 of the family's 1533-position model. The record is from RNAcentral.
ACCAGACUCCUACGGGAGGCAGCAGUGGGGAAUAUUGCACAAUGGGCGAAAGCCUGAUGCAGCAACGCCGCGUGAAGGAAGACGGUUUUCGGAUUGUAAACUUCUGUUCUUAGUGAAGAAUAAUGACGGUAACUAAGGAGCAAGCCACGGCUAACUACGUGCCAGCAGCCGCGGUAAUACGUAGGUGGCAAGCGUUGUCCGGAAUUACUGGGUGUAAAGGGAGCGUAGGCGGGAAGCCAAGUCAGCUGUGAAAACUGCGGGCUUAACCUGUAGACUGCAGUUGAAACUGGCUUUCUUGAGUGAAGUAGAGGUUGGCGGAAUUCCGAGUGUAGCGGUGAAAUGCGUAGAUAUUAGGAGGAACACCAGUGGCGAAGGCGGCCUGCUGGGCUUUUACUGACGCUGAGGCUCGAAAGUGUGGGGAGCAAACAGGAUUAGAUACCCUUGUAGG